AUAACUGUGGUAAUUCUAGAGCUAAUAUUUUAAAGAAUGCCGUGACUCACGAAGCGGCGGAUUUAUUAGAUCAAAACUAAUCUGUCGCAAGACAGAAAUUUGAUGACUCUGGAUAACUUUACUGAUCGUACAACGUUAGUUGACGACAAAUCUCUUGAAAUGGCUGACCUAUCAACUUUAGAUGGUAAGAUCAAAGCUUACCAUGGUUGUAACGGGUAACGGGGAAUCAGUGUUCGAUUCCGGAGAGGGAGCCUGAGAAACGGCUACCACAUCCACGGAAGGCAGCAGGCGCGAAAAUUACCCAAUACCGGUUCGGUGAGGUAGUGACAAUAAAUAACAAUAUGGGCCCUUAGUGGUUUCAUAAUUGCAAUGAGAUUAUUUUAAAUACUUUUUCAAGUAUCAAUUGGAGGGCAAGUCUGGUGCCAGCAGCCGCGGUAAUUCCAGCUCCAAAAGCGUAUAUUAAAGUUGUUGCAGUUAAAAAGCUCGUAGUUGAAAUUGGGGAAAUGAUUUAAUGAACCGUCUAUGAUGGAUUGUUUUAUCUUCCUUCGUCGUCGUGUAUAUUGUGAAGUCACUUUAUUGGGAUUUUGCAGUAACCGACAAGUUUACUUUGAAAAAAUUAGAGUGCUUAAAGCAGGCUUACGCUUGUAUAUUGUUGCAUGGAAUAAUGAAAUAAGACUUUGGUUUUAUUUUGUUGGUUUUCGAAACUAAAGUAAUGAUUAAAAGAGACUGCCGGGGGCAUAUGUAUGCUGGUGCUAGAGGUGAAAUUCUUAGACCAUCAGCAGACAAUCUACU
RNAcentral lists this ribosomal RNA (792 nucleotides) under Dugesia sp. GS17. RNAcentral describes it as "SSU rRNA". It matches the Rfam family "Eukaryotic small subunit ribosomal RNA", at positions 143 to 944 of the family's 1831-position model. The record is from RNAcentral. Lineage: Eukaryota; Metazoa; Platyhelminthes; Tricladida; Dugesiidae.